Molecule: long non-coding RNA, 505 nt
Filed under: Brassica napus (rape)
Lineage: Eukaryota; Viridiplantae; Streptophyta; Magnoliopsida; Brassicales; Brassicaceae
Description: long non-coding RNA (BNAP_LNC007081)
Source: RNAcentral
CCAUGCCCACCACCUCCGGUUCCGGUGUACGAGCCACCCCCAAAGGUGGAACUUCCACCACCUGUCCCGGUUCACGAGCCACCCCCAAAGGUAGAGGUUCCACCACCCGUCCCGGUUCACGACCCACCGCCAAAGGUGGAGCACCCACCUCCGGUUCCGGUUUACAAGCCACCUCCAAAGGUAGAGCACCCACCUCCAGUUCCGGUUUACAAGCCGCCUCCAAAGGUAGAGCACCCACCUCCGGUUCCGGUUUACAAGCCACCUCCAAAGGUAGAGCACCCCCCUCCGGUUCCGGUUUACAAGCCACCUCCAAAGGUAGAGCACCCACCUCCGGUUCCAGUACACAAGCCACCAACAAUCCCUAAGAAGCCAUGCCCGCCUAAGUCGCCGAAGAUUGAGCUUCCACCGCCAGUGCCAGUUCACAAACCACCGACUAAGAAGCCUUGUCCGCCCAUGCCACCAAAGAAAGUUGAUCCGCCACCGGUUCCAGUCCACAAGCCGCCGC